GGAGCAGUAAUGUUUGACUUUCAGUUUGUACAGGUGCACAAUUUUAAUAUUGUUUUAUGUGCCACAUAAUUUAUUUGUGAAUGACCAAUCCUGCCUCAAAUAACUUUUUCUCCAUAAGUAUAGAAACGCAAUUUGUAAAAUGAGGUUAUAGCGUUUUGCUUGAAAUAAAUACAAUCAUCAAUGCCAUAUACUCAAAAAAGUGAUGUGUUCCAAGCGGAUAUAUUAGCAGUAUUAUAGUUAAAUUAAAGUGUAUGGCAACAUGUUCCGGAGUAAAUUCCGGAUGCAUACAUGCCGAGUUAUUUUAUUGACUUCACUAGUUUGGUUUUUAGUGGAUGUAGUGUUACUAACAUUUUACUCAGACUGUAUAGGAUCAGGCUGGAAUUGUAGGAGACGAGAUGAAUAUAUUGUCGAGAUUGAUCAUCCAAAGGCACUCGUCGCCAAUAAGGCUGAACUGU
Long non-coding RNA from Ctenocephalides felis (cat flea), 455 nucleotides. RefSeq lists it as uncharacterized. The transcript is spliced from 3 exons. The record is from RefSeq and is a predicted model, not a curated record. Lineage: Eukaryota; Metazoa; Arthropoda; Insecta; Siphonaptera; Pulicidae.